UACCAAGAGACGUAAGAACACAAGCUAAUCCUAGAAAAUCCAAAACACAUCAUAAGCUCCAAAUUCCUACAUAUACUCCUCCUUCAACCCCCUUUCAUCUUCCUUCAAAUAUCCGGCGUCCACAGCAGAAGAUCAUCCAAGACAAUUCUGUUACUAAAGAUUGUUCUAGAUCGAUAGGUAAAUGGAUGAUGGAGAGUUGAUUCAUAGACGACCGCAAUCGACGACAUAUUUUGGCAGUUGCUUGCCGAUGACAACAUCUCCGUCUUGUUUUCCGGUUAAACACGAAGAUUACUACACUCGGAUUCAUCGUGCUCCGAAGAGUAGUAAUAGUCAUGAUGUUGUGAAUAGAAUUAAGAGAAAAUGGAGAAAUCUGUUGAGAAGAUUAGUGUGCCAGAGAAAGAUUAUGAGUAUAUGCGGAGCAACGAUGAGUAGUGGUUCUAAUAAUAACCGAGUAACAUUUCAUUAUGAUGCUGUUAGUUAUGCUCAGAAUUUCGACGAAGGAUGUCAUCACCAACAAGAUCAACGUCACAUGAUAAUUCCGUCCAACAAGAAGAACAACUCCGGCAAUAAUAACUUCAUCAGAGAUUUCAAAAGCAUUAGUUCUAAAGUUGCUUGUUCCCGGUGACGAUCAUCCGGUCGUGAUAUACUUUUAUUAUGACACUUGAUAAAGAAGACGACGAUAUUCAAGAAAACAAUGGGAUUUUACUUUUAACGAUCGACUGCCCAGGGGAAGAUUUUCAUGUACAUGUUAUAAGGGGAAACACCAAAACAAUACGCGCAGUAAAUAAUUUGAUCCGGCCAAGACACUUAAGUGGUCGAAACGGUGCAUGUGGCGCAGCUGAGCAACUGUAAUGCUUGGAUAUCUGCAUCUUCGAAGUGACGAUAUAUAGUUGUUUACUUUACUAUAUGGUUUGUCCCCUUUGGAUUUUGUAAUUAGUCUGUUUACUAUGCUUAAUGAGCCAAGUCCAACUUUGUGCACCCCUCCAAUACCGGGGUGCAUAUUGCGGCUUUAACUAUUGGCCAAAAUAUGUGGAGUGGUUUUCCGUUUCUGUUCA
Molecule: long non-coding RNA, 1055 nt
Organism: Papaver somniferum (opium poppy)
Lineage: Eukaryota; Viridiplantae; Streptophyta; Magnoliopsida; Ranunculales; Papaveraceae
Exons: 2
Source: RefSeq, a predicted model, not a curated record